GCCUGGCCCCGCCAUUGUAGUUCUCUUUGGGCGAGGAAUUGUUGGAAGUAGAUAUGAGUGUACUGUGUCUGUCGGGAGCAACGCGGUCUACGCUUAAAAGAAGGGAUAGUGGAGGUUCCCUGCGCUCCGGCCAUCUUUGCACGGCAGGGCCCUGAUUCUCGCAGGCGGGUCUUCAGCGCCACGAGGGGAUAUAAGAGGUUCAGCGAUGUGUUAUCCUCGAAUAAAACAUGAGCUCUGGAAGCCCAGCCAGCAGGGGUCUGCCACUAAAGUAGUGUGCUGAGAGCCUGAGGUUACACUCCUCUUGGAGCAGUGCUGUUGAGAUGGCUGGGAUGCCUAGGUAAUGGUUCCUGCCACUUCGGGCUAUGAAAAGAAGAGCCUCGGUGUUUAUCCCUGGCUACUGUGGGUUUUGCUGACAAAAAGGAUGCCCUCUUUACCUGGUGUUGGGAACUUACAUCUUUCCUGCAUUGACCUGUGUGAGCAGCUGUCAGUUUAUUGGAGGCAAAAACAAAUAUGGGGCGCUUAAAUAUCAGUUAGCUUUCACUUCUUUGUCUUAAAACAAGUAUUUGGUUUUAUCAGAAGGAUUCUAAUAAAGUAUUUCAAAGCAAA
This is a long non-coding RNA of Rhinolophus ferrumequinum (greater horseshoe bat), 606 nucleotides long. RefSeq lists it as uncharacterized. The record is from RefSeq and is a predicted model, not a curated record. Lineage: Eukaryota; Metazoa; Chordata; Mammalia; Chiroptera; Rhinolophidae. The transcript is spliced from 5 exons.